GGGAUCGUGGCGGAACAGCAGACGCAGCGGACUUAAAAUCCGCAGUCAAGAAAUUGACGUGUGGGUGCAACUCCCACCGGUCCCA
This 85-nucleotide transfer RNA is filed under the name Phycisphaerae bacterium. Its description in RNAcentral is "tRNA-Leu". It matches the Rfam family "tRNA". Rfam says of the family: Transfer RNA (tRNA) molecules are approximately 80 nucleotides in length. Their secondary structure includes four short double-helical elements and three loops (D, anti-codon, and T loops). RNAcentral also lists the same sequence under 1 other name. The record is from RNAcentral. Lineage: Bacteria; Pseudomonadati; Planctomycetota; Phycisphaerae.